GAUGAACGCUGGCGGCGUGCCUAAUACAUGCAAGUAGAACGCUGAAGCUUGGUGCUUGCACCGAGCGGAUGAGUUGCGAACGGGUGAGUAACGCGUAGGUAACCUGCCUGGUAGCGGGGGAUAACUAUUGGAAACGAUAGCUAAUACCGCAUGACAACAGUUAUUGCAUGAUAGCUGUUUAAAAGGGGCAAUUGCUCCACUACCAGAUGGACCUGCGUUGUAUUAGCUAGUUGGUGAGGUAACGGCUCACCAAGGCGACGAUACAUAGCCGACCUGAGAGGGUGAUCGGCCACACUGGGACUGAGACACGGCCCAGACUCCUACGGGAGGCAGCAGUAGGGAAUCUUCGGCAAUGGACGGAAGUCUGACCGAGCAACGCCGCGUGAGUGAAGAAGGUUUUCGGAUCGUAAAGCUCUGUUGUAAGAGAAGAACGAGUGUGAGAGUGGAAAGUUCACACUGUGACGGUAUCUUACCAGAAAGGGACGGCUA
RNAcentral lists this ribosomal RNA (489 nucleotides) under Streptococcus sp. oral taxon 074. RNAcentral's name for it is "bacterial SSU rRNA". It matches the Rfam family "Bacterial small subunit ribosomal RNA", at positions 28 to 499 of the family's 1533-position model. Lineage: Bacteria; Bacillati; Bacillota; Bacilli; Lactobacillales; Streptococcaceae. The record is from RNAcentral.